GCAUGAUAUGAAAGGAGAGAAGGUUAGCACUCCCCUUGAUAAGGAUGGAAGAGGCCCUUGUGGUCUUUGCAAUAUGCAUAUGGUUAAGGCGCUGCCACUUAUGUCGUGGCAUCUAACCAGUUUUUUAG
This 128-nucleotide non-coding RNA is filed under the name Laticauda laticaudata (blue-ringed sea krait). Lineage: Eukaryota; Metazoa; Chordata; Lepidosauria; Squamata; Elapidae. The record is from RNAcentral.